UACGAUCAUAUCACGUUCAAACACCGGUUCUUGUACGAUCAGCAAUGUUAAGUAAAGUCGAGCCUGGUCAGUAUCUAGAUGGGUGACAACUUGGUAAUACCAGGUGUUGUAAG
Acanthosepion pharaonis is the source of this 113-nucleotide non-coding RNA. The record is from the annotation of a GenBank genome assembly. Lineage: Eukaryota; Metazoa; Mollusca; Cephalopoda; Sepiida; Sepiidae.